GUCGCCGCGCAGCAGCAGUUCUGUUCGGUUUCGCCUUCCUGCUGUGCAGUCUUUUGACGCUUGCUGUCCAACUUUGGAGUUUUCUUGCCUUUUUUUCUCUCAGAGUUGAGCCCCUGCCCGGGCCCUUUAGUCCCUCGGUCACGAGGAACGGUAGAGUUUAGAACCUGUGAGUACGUUAGAAAGUUCGCAGUCGAGGAAGAACAGGGUUCGGGCAAGGGCAGCUGGUCCGGUACCAAGGGAAAACAGGCUGGGAUGGUGAAGGCGUCAGUGGCUACAAGGCUGGAAGUUUAGCACCAGAAGGGAAUUUGGAGAUCAAUUCAACCGCCUCAUUUCAGGCAUACUUAAAUUGAAACCCAGAAAGAUGAGGUAAUUUGCAGAAGGUCACCCAGCAACCCCUGAGCAGGCAGGACUGCAACACAAAUGUCUGACGUGGGCUUCCACUGUGUAAUGCUAAGCAGAUAGGACGUAAAUUCCUUUGCAGACUUCUCAUUUUUCCUUACCCCCUGCCUCUCAUAUUACACACCUUCCCCAUUUAGCUUUUCUUCUUUUACUUUGCACUUGCUUUUGUACAUCUAAAAGGAAUUAAUUAUUCAACAGCAGUGGGAACCCUUGAAACAUAAUCUGGAAAAAAAGAUUAAUAAAGUUUUUUUUAUGUCGCGUAGUGAAAAGAGCAUGUGCUUUAGAGACAAACCUGGGCUCCAGCUAUUUACUUGUGAGAGCUUUAGGUCAAUUGGCUUUUAUUACAGCUUUUUAACCAUAAUAAAAUGGGGAUCCCUGCCUAGCAGAAGAUUGAUUAAAUGGAUCAUAAAUUGUCCAACUAGUGCCUAGCAAAUAGUACAUACUCAGUAUUUUCCCCUUUUUAAUCCCCGUUUUACAGGCGAUGGAACUCACCAGAGACCAGAUAGCUAGAGAAUGGCUGAGCUGGGUUUUAAAUCUAGUCAAUCUUGACCCCAGAGCUCUCCAGCCUAAAGGUAAUGUUUAGACUUAACUUCCAGUGGUGUCAUUAUAAGAGUCAAAAACAGACUGAAGAAAUAAAAUAGCAGAAUAAAGUAGUGGGGCAUUAAAGAAUCAUCUAGUUAAUUCUUGGUGAUGAUAACAGAAAUGUUGGGAAAAGUGUCAGAAGCCUUAAUUUUCUCCCCAUUCUUUCUGAGUAUCUUUAGAUCAACCACCACUUCCCAAGUAUUUGCAAACAAGCAGCAUAGAUAUUAUAGCCCUAGAAAGAGUUGGAAACAUUAUCACAACAUUAGCAAGAGAGUCAAGGCAUUUUUAAGGAAACAGAAGCUUCCAUUUCAUGAACUAAUAAAGCCCAAGGUGCCAAAGACACUGAUGUCAUACUGGAAAGUGGUGUAAAAUAAAAUUAUAAGCAUAAUUUCAACAUCAAAUAAAACAAAUGAUGAAACAUGCCAGUUAAUGGCAGAGCCAGCGUC
RNAcentral lists this long non-coding RNA (1427 nucleotides) under Homo sapiens (human). RNAcentral's name for it is "LHRI_LNC574.1". Lineage: Eukaryota; Metazoa; Chordata; Mammalia; Primates; Hominidae. The record is from RNAcentral.